This 650-nucleotide ribosomal RNA is filed under the name uncultured bacterium. RNAcentral describes it as "bacterial SSU rRNA". It matches the Rfam family "Bacterial small subunit ribosomal RNA", at positions 505 to 1160 of the family's 1533-position model. The record is from RNAcentral.
GUGCCAGCCGCCGCGGUAAUACGGAGGGUGCAAGCGUUAAUCGGAAUUACUGGGCGUAAAGCGCACGCAGGCGGUCUGUCAAGUCGGAUGUGAAAUCCCCGGGCUCAACCUGGGAACUGCAUCCGAAACUGGCAGGCUAGAGUCUUGUAGAGGGGGGUAGAAUUCCAGGUGUAGCGGUGAAAUGCGUAGAGAUCUGGAGGAAUACCGGUGGCGAAGGCGGCCCCCUGGACAAAGACUGACGCUCAGGUGCGAAAGCGUGGGGAGCAAACAGGAUUAGAUACCCUGGUAGUCCACGCCGUAAACGAUGUCGACUUGGAGGUUGUGCCCUUGAGGCGUGGCUUCCGGAGCUAACGCGUUAAGUCGACCGCCUGGGGAGUACGGCCGCAAGGUUAAAACUCAAAUGAAUUGACGGGGGCCCGCACAAGCGGUGGAGCAUGUGGUUUAAUUCGAUGCAACGCGAAGAACCUUACCUACUCUUGACAUCCAGAGAACUUAGCAGAGAUGCUUUGGUGCCUUCGGGAACUCUGAGACAGGUGCUGCAUGGCUGUCGUCAGCUCGUGUUGUGAAAUGUUGGGUUAAGUCCGCAACGAGCGCAACCCUUAUCUUGUUGCCAGCGGUCCGGCCGGAACUCAAAGAGACUGCCAGUGAUA